AAGUCAACUUGUGGUUUGUGUGUGUGCACUUAACAAAAUAUCUCCGAUCAUAAAAUUAAAUGUAUUCAGUAAUGUUAAUUGUACAGACUUAGGUCCUCUGACCAAAUAUUUAAAUCAUGUGACUAUCCGUUUUACAAAUUCCAAAGGACAAUUGAGAUUGCAGGAUCAUGGCCAGUAAUUGGAGUGUUUGUGGUGUUUGUUAUAAUCGUCAUAUCAUCAAACCAUCAGAAGUCUGGUGUUCCGAAUGUGACGAAGGACUAUGUAGAGAGUGUAAGAAACAUCACAGUGUUUCGAAGGAUACACAAAACCAUACUGUUAAAUACAAGAAAUUACCAACAGAGGUCGUUCAAAUUGUCCAGGUCUGCAAAAUACAUAAGGAGAGAUACGAGCUUUUUUGUAGAAAACACGAUUGCCCUUGUUGUAAGAUAUGUGCAAUUACUCACAACGAUUGUGAAAGUUUAUUCGACAUCAAUGAAUACACAAAAAACGUCAAAACUUCAAAUGCCUUUCAUGAAAUUGAACAAACACUGCUGGAAGUUGUCAAUAAUAUUAAACGAAUUAUUACUAACCGGGAAGACAAUCUAGAAUCAUUGAAAAACAAAGAAAAAGAAAUUGAAGAUGAAAUCAAACAAAUCAGGACCAAAAUAAACAAACAACUUGAUAGGCUUCAGGAUGAUUUGAUAUUUAAUUUAAUGGAGAUUAAACAAUUGGAGAGCAGCAAAAUACAAAAGUUGUUGACCACUCUAAAAAAUCAAGGAGAAGAGAUCACAGAAUAUCAAGAAAACUUUACAAUUAUUAAACAACAUGCGUCUGAACUUCAAAUAUUUUUGGCCAUGAAGAAUUUAGAAAAGGAUAUUGCAGUCAAGGAGCAAUUUAUCGAAUCGAUUACCAAAAGUGACUCCAUGAAUCAAGUAAAUAUAUCAUGCCAAGUUAACCAUCUGUCUUUACAGGAAAUCACAGCCAGCGUUCAGAGGUGUGUAAAAAUUAAUGUCAGUUCUAACCCAUGCAACUUGUCAAUUCAGAAACAGAAAGACAUACAAGCCCAGAUAAGUGUAGCUCAUUCAACUAGAAAAAUCGAUAGCCUAACUCUUACAUUACAGAACCAUAUCAAUACUUGGUUGAAAAAUGUUCGAGGGUGUUCUUUGCUCCCUGGUGGUAGGAUGGUUUUCUCUUGUUUUUCACAGAACAAAUUGUCAGUAUUCAAAUCUGUCGGACUACAAGAUUUCGAAAUAAAAAAUAUUGCUGAUACGUUCGAUGUGGUAUAUAUUGGAAAUGAUUGUAUUGCUGUGUCAUCUGGCAAAUCAUUUCCGAUUAAUAUAAUCAACAUAAAGAAAAACAAACGAGAGAAAACAAUAAAAGUGAGCACAUUUAGUGAUGGAGUGAAAUACAAUGAUGGAGUAGCAUACAUUGAUGGAAAUUUGAUUUAUUGUGGUAGGGAAGAAGGACUACGGAUGAUUAGUUGUUUUGACGGAUCCGUUACCAAUAUUGUUUCCAAUAACGAACUUUCUUAUGCUUCUUACGUUACAACAUUCAGAAACAAAUUGUUCUACACAAUUCAUAGAGAUGACAGUGUAACCUGUUGUGAUUACCAGGGUAAAAUACUGUGGACAUUUAGUGAUGCGAGUGUUUUGAAGACUCCACUCGGUAUCUCUACAGACAAUAAUGGAAACGUGUUUGUAGCGGGAGCAAAUACCGAUAAUGUAAUUGUUUUCUCUCCUGAUGGAAAACGCUAUAGAGAACUUUUAUCACACGAAGAUGGACUAAUCAGACCGCAGGUUUUGCACUAUGAUACAUCCACUGAUAAAUUGUUAGUUGCAAAUGAAAAAAACGAUGCAUUCUUGUAUGACGUUAAAUAAGAAGUUGUGAUGUGAACUAUUUCCAGUAGAUAGCAUACCUUAUAGAACAUUGCUUAGAUCCAGAUUUCUGGUCUAUUCAUGACGUUCAAUAAUAGUAAAAAGUGAAAGACCAUCAACAGAUACUAUGUUAGAAUCGUAAUAAGGAUUUAGGUUUUAUAGUCCAUAAUGUAGUAGCAGUAAAUUAAGAAUACCUAUGCAUACCUUAAUUGUUUACUUUUUAUUAAUUUGGUCUCGAGCUUAACAAAUGACACUUAUUUUAGAAACAUGUGAUGUACGCACGGCAUGCAUACCACAUGUUUUAUUAGUUAUUUUAGAAUUUUAGAAAAGACAUAAUAAAAAAAAAUAUCCCUUUCAUAAUCAUGAAAUUUUUAAUUGAAAAUUUAUAUUGCGAGCUUUAUUAGUACUGCUUUUAUGGUUUCAGUAGAUGCACUUACAGUUGUUAAGCGCAGAGAAAUAAUGAAGUGUGACUAUAUGUCCUCUUGAUUGAGAUACACAAGAUGCUUAUCUAUUUACAUCGGAUACGAGAAGAACAAGAAAUGAUUGUAACAGGAUGCUGUUACGAAGUCUCCCAAACGAAGCUCCCAUAAUUCGUAAUUCCCAGGGUCGCCUGACAUUGGGCAACGUCCAGUGAAAAUUGGUUUGGUCCAGUAAAGUUAUAUGCAUUAGUGAUGCCUGGGGACUAAUCUUGUAUAUUAUUCAAAUCAUCUUGGCAUGACAAACCAGAAUAUAUAUGGUUUAGGGGUGGGGAUCUCGACCAUUUACAAGAUACUAGAACAUUGGGGGUGGGGGGAACCCCUGGGGACUGACCCUAUACGUCAUUCAAAUGUUCGUUACAUGACGAACAGGAAUAUAUAUGGUUUAGGGGUGGGGAUCUCAACCAUUUACAAGAUAUUAGAACUUUCUCAAAUGGCAAGGGGUCGGGAUGACCCCUGAGGACUAACCCUGUAUAUCAUUCAAACCAUCUUCUCAUGACAAACCAGAAUAUAUAUGGUUUAGGGGUUGGGAUCUUGACCACUUACAAGAUAUUAGAACUUUCUUAAAUGGCAUGGGGUGGGGGUGACCCCUGGGGACUAACCCUGUAUUUCAUUUGAUGUGCUUUAUCAUGACAAAUCAGAAUAUAUAUAGUUUAGGGGUGGGAAUCUCGACCAUUUACAAGAUAUUAGAACUUUCUCAAAUGGCAAGGGGUCGGGAUGACCCCUGGGGACUAACCCUGUAUAUCAUUUAAACCAUCUUAGCAUGAAAAACCAGAAUACAUAUGGUUUAGGGGUGGGGAUUUUGACCACUUACAAGAUAUUAGAACUUUCUUAAAUGGCAGGGGGUGAUCCCUGGGGACUAACCCUGUAUUUCAUUUGAUGUGCUUUAUCAUGACAAACCAGAAUAUAUAUGGUUUAGGGGUGGGGAUCUUGUCCACUUAGAAGAUAUUAGAACUUUCUUAAAUGGCAUGGGGUGGGGGUGACCCCUGGGGACUAACCCUGUAUUACAUUUGAUGUGCUUUAUCAUGACAAACCAGAAUAUAUAUGGUUUAGGGGUGGGGAUCUCGACCAUUUACAAGAUAUUAGAACUUUCUCAAAUGGCAGGGGGUCGGGAUGACCCCUGGGGACUAACCCUGUAUACCAUUCAAACCAUCUUAGCAUGACAAACCAAAAUAUAUAUGGUUUAGGGGUGGGGAUCUUGACCACUUACAAGGUAUAAGAACUUUCUUAAAUGGCAGGGGGUGGGGGUGACCCCUGGGGACUAACCCUUUAUUUCAUUUAAUGGGCUUUUUCGUU
RNA transcript from Mytilus californianus (California mussel), 3625 nucleotides. RefSeq lists it as uncharacterized. The record is from RefSeq and is a predicted model, not a curated record. Lineage: Eukaryota; Metazoa; Mollusca; Bivalvia; Mytilida; Mytilidae. The transcript is spliced from 3 exons.